This 1849-nucleotide ribosomal RNA is filed under the name Escherichia coli. RNAcentral's name for it is "partial 23S ribosomal RNA". It matches the Rfam family "Bacterial large subunit ribosomal RNA", at positions 1 to 1875 of the family's 2925-position model. The record is from RNAcentral. Lineage: Bacteria; Pseudomonadati; Pseudomonadota; Gammaproteobacteria; Enterobacterales; Enterobacteriaceae.
GGUUAAGCGACUAAGCGUACACGGUGGAUGCCCUGGCAGUCAGAGGCGAUGAAGGACGUGCUAAUCUGCGAUAAGCGUCGGUGAGGUGAUAUGAACCGUUAUAACCGGCGAUUUCCGAAUGGGGAAACCCAGUGUGUUUCGACACACUAUCAUUAACUGAAUCCAUAGGUUAAUGAGGCGAACCGGGGGAACUGAAACAUCUAAGUACCCCGAGGAAAAGAAAUCAACCGAGAUUCCCCCAGUAGCGGCGAGCGAACGGGGAGGAGCCCAGAGCCUGAAUCAGUGUGUGUGUUAGUGGAAGCGUCUGGAAAGGCGCGCGAUACAGGGUGACAGCCCCGUACACAAAAAUGCACAUAUUGUGAGCUCGAUGAGUAGGGCGGGACACGUGGUAUCCUGUCUGAAUAUGGGGGGACCAUCCUCCAAGGCUAAAUACUCCUGACUGACCGAUAGUGAACCAGUACCGUGAGGGAAAGGCGAAAAGAACCCCGGCGAGGGGAGUGAAAAAGAACCUGAAACCGUGUACGUACAAGCAGUGGGAGCCUCUUUUAUGGGGUGACUGCGUACCUUUUGUAUAAUGGGUCAGCGACUUAUAUUCUGUAGCAAGGUUAACCGAAUAGGGGAGCCGAAGGGAAACCGAGUCUUAACUGGGCGUUAAGUUGCAGGGUAUAGACCCGAAACCCGGUGAUCUAGCCAUGGGCAGGUUGAAGGUUGGGUAACACUAACUGGAGGACCGAACCGACUAAUGUUGAAAAAUUAGCGGAUGACUUGUGGCUGGGGGUGAAAGGCCAAUCAAACCGGGAGAUAGCUGGUUCUCCCCGAAAGCUAUUUAGGUAGCGCCUCGUGAAUUCAUCUCCGGGGGUAGAGCACUGUUUCGGCAAGGGGGUCAUCCCGACUUACCAACCCGAUGCAAACUGCGAAUACCGGAGAAUGUUAUCACGGGAGACACACGGCGGGUGCUAACGUCCGUCGUGAAGAGGGAAACAACCCAGACCGCCAGCUAAGGUCCCAAAGUCAUGGUUAAGUGGGAAACGAUGUGGGAAGGCCCAGACAGCCAGGAUGUUGGCUUAGAAGCAGCCAUCAUUUAAAGAAAGCGUAAUAGCUCACUGGUCGAGUCGGCCUGCGCGGAAGAUGUAACGGGGCUAAACCAUGCACCGAAGCUGCGGCAGCGACGCUUAUGCGUUGUUGGGUAGGGGAGCGUUCUGUAAGCCUGUGAAGGUGUGCUGUGAGGCAUGCUGGAGGUAUCAGAAGUGCGAAUGCUGACAUAAGUAACGAUAAAGCGGGUGAAAAGCCCGCUCGCCGGAAGACCAAGGGUUCCUGUCCAACGUUAAUCGGGGCAGGGUGAGUCGACCCCUAAGGCGAGGCCGAAAGGCGUAGUCGAUGGGAAACAGGUUAAUAUUCCUGUACUUGGUGUUACUGCGAAGGGGGGACGGAGAAGGCUAUGUUGGCCGGGCGACGGUUGUCCCGGUUUAAGCGUGUAGGCUGGUUUUCCAGGCAAAUCCGGAAAACCAAGGCUGAGGCGUGAUGACGAGGCACUACGGUGCUGAAGCGACAAAUGCCCUGCUUCCAGGAAAAGCCUCUAAGCAUCAGGUAACAUCAAAUCGUACCCCAAACCGACACAGGUGGUCAGGUAGAGAAUACCAAGGCGCUUGAGAGAACUCGGGUGAAGGAACUAGGCAAAAUGGUGCCGUAACUUCGGGAGAAGGCACGCUGAUAUGUAGGUGAAGCGACUUGCUCGUGGAGCUGAAAUCAGUCGAAGAUACCAGCUGGCUGCAACUGUUUAUUAAAAACACAGCACUGUGCAAACACGAAAGUGGACGUAUACGGUGUGACGCCUGCCCGGUGCCGGAAG